RNAcentral lists this non-coding RNA (89 nucleotides) under uncultured Alistipes sp. The record is from RNAcentral. Lineage: Bacteria; Pseudomonadati; Bacteroidota; Bacteroidia; Bacteroidales; Rikenellaceae.
AAGAGGGGUGCCUUGCCGAGAGGACACGGAAAGGCUGAGAUCAUACCCUAUGAACUUGAUGCGGGCAAUACCGUCGAAAGGACUUGUUC